This is a long non-coding RNA of Pseudomyrmex gracilis, 3102 nucleotides long. RefSeq lists it as uncharacterized. The record is from RefSeq and is a predicted model, not a curated record. The transcript is spliced from 3 exons. Lineage: Eukaryota; Metazoa; Arthropoda; Insecta; Hymenoptera; Formicidae.
ACUGCUUCUCGAUGUUUCGAUGUUCUUUGCGUGCGGUUUUUGUCUUGCUCCUGUUCGCGUUCGGCAGUUCUCUCUCGUUGUUAUGGGCCCAGGACAGUCAGAGAUGUAAAAAGAGAAAAAAAAUAAAAAUAAAAAUUUCAUCUGAGAGUGCUGUGAUUCAAAAGUGUAAACAUUAAAAAAAAUUAAAAACUAAUAAUAGCGUCGAAUGGUCAGGACGAAGUAAUACAAAUAGAAAAGUUGAAAGACGCAGAAAAUUUUUCCUUAUAAAAAUUUCAAGUAACAAUACUCUUCAAGUCGCUUGGAUUGUACGAGAUCGCGACAGGAUCAUUUGUACUGAUGGAGGACAUCACGGAACAAGCUAAAACAAACUGGAUCAGGAAGGAUGCACGGGCUCAGAAGAUAAUAAUUUCAUCGAUUGAGAGACAAGUUUUAAUGCAUAUAUUAAUAUGUAAAACCUCUUGCAAACUCAAAAAUUAAAUUAGAAGAUCAAGUUCGAGCACAUUGCAAAGGAUGUUUUAAUUAAUCCAUUAACAUUACAAUAUAAAACGCUUUAAAAAUAACUCAAAACGCUUAAAUAACAUUUCAUUUUGUAAUAUUUUCACCCUUACUUGGGUCUUCUUCAGACGUGAAAAACAAAAAAGUCAGAAACAAUGAUCUAAACGUACAAAGUCAAUCAGCCGGUCAUCUUCAGUGAAAAUAUAAAUAGAUUGGUUUACCUUAUGGAUGGUAGUCUAUAAUAAAGAACAGACAGGAUACUCAUAGUCAAUAUCACAAGAGUAAAGCCCACAAACAACUUACUUAGUAACUCGCGGUUAAAUGCUGAUAAACAAGAUGAAAACGAGAAUUAUAUAAUGUUGUCCCCACCAUAGCAAUGCUUUCCAAAGAGCUUACGUGGAAAGCAAAUUGAAAUACGAAGAGUCAAGUAAAUCUAAAUCAUUAACUGAGUUUAAGCCAUUCAAUUGUAAUUUAAUAUGGAUCAUCUCAGAAAUUAAUCUUUUGUAGUAGCGUUUUAUAUUGCAAUGUUAAUGAAUUAAUUAAAACAUCUUUUGCAAUGUGCUCGAAUUUGACCUUCUAAUUUAAUUUUUGUUUUCACAAUACGAGCGUUUGAUUUAUUUUUCACUACUCUUGCGAAAUGUUUAAGCGCAUUUGCGCUAUGUACGAAAGAGAUGCGCAGCAACAAAACUGUGUACUACAAGAAUUCUACAAUUUUACUUAUCAGAAGGGUGCAGACGUCGGCUCGCAUGUAAGUAAGCUAGAAGCACUAGCAUACAGAUUAAAAAUACUGAACGUUGAUAUUGAUAAUACUAUGCUAAUAUCUAAGAUUCUUGCAACAUUGCCUGAAAAAUUUAAACACUUCAUUUGUGCAUAAGAUUCCACAGGUCAAGAACAAAACACGCUUUCUAACCUUACAUCUAGAUUAUUAUCAAAAGAAAUUAGGCUAACAGCUGCAGAUAUCAAACAGAAAGCAGUAGCAUUUAAAACGAGUAAGAGAAAAUGCUAUAAGUGUAACAACCCAGGACACUUUGCGAAAGCAUGUAAAAUGAAGGGAAACAAUCAAGAUUUACGCUGUUUCAACUGUAAUGGACGCGGACAUAUAGCAAAAAAUUGUAAAAAAGAGAACAAUACAGGAUAUCGGAAUAAAGAUGGACUAUGGACAAUUAAUUUUGAUCAAGACUAUGUGAGUAAUGCUCUUUAAACUCAGGAAAUAAAAACAGCAGUAGAGUGGCAUCAAAAACUUGGUCAUUUUGGAAGAGAAAACAUGAAGAGAUUACAAACUAUGUCAGAAGGAAUGACAUUAUCAGAAGAAGAUCUUAAAUGUUUGGAAAAUGUAUGUGAAAUAUGCGUUAGAGCAAAACAAACAAGACUACCCUGUAAUGAAAGAAGAUUGAGAGCCAAAAGACCGCUUGAAAUAGUACAUACUGAUGUAUGUGGACCAGUGGAUCUUUUGACGUGGGAUAACAAAAAAAAUAUAUAUUAACAUUUAUUGAUGAUUACACACACUUUGUUAUGAUCUAUUUACUAGAAGGAAAAUAUGAAAUUCCAUUGAAAGUCAAAGAAGAUGCUAAUUUUGUAGAAACAAAGAAUGGAAUUUAAGAAUCACUAAACUAAGAUGUAACAACGGACGGGAAUAUGUUAAUAAUAAUAUCGAAUCAUGGUGCAAACAAAGAGAUACUUUACUUGAUACAACUACAUCCUACACACCUCAACUUAAUAGCAAGGCUGAACGAUUGAAUAGGACUCUUAUAGAAAAGACAAGAGCUCUUCUUAUGUGAAUGCUGAUGUGGAUAAAAUUUUUUGGGGAAAAGCUGUGCUACUAUUUGUCAAAUAGGAGUCCUUCGAAUGCAGUCCAAAGAACUCCAUAUGAAAAUUGGACUUCACAAAGACCUGAUUUAUCGAGAUUACAUAUAUUUGGCUGUACGGCUUACACCAAAGUCUUAACACCACUUAAAAAAUUGGACGAUAGAUGCAAAAAAUUAACUUUUCUUGGUUAUGCACCUAAUAGAUAUCGGUUAUUUGAUCGAGAAAAACGAAAACUAAUAAUAUCAAGAGAUGUUAUAUUUACAGAAGAAUUAAAAUUAAAUAAUGCAAAAGUAAGUAUAAAGACAACUACUGAAGAAGAAUCAAAUAAAGAACAAGAAGCAAUAGAGCAAGAAGAAAUCAGAAUCAAUAUCGAGAAUGUAUCUGAAAGCGACGAGGACACAAAUCAGUUUCAAGAUGCACUGGAAGGAUCACAUAGUAAAAAGAAAAAAAUAUAGAAAGAUUUUGUAGAAGAAAAGGGAUAAGAAAAUUAUCAAAAAGAUCAUGUAGAAGAAAAUGGACAAGAAAAUCAUGAAGAAGAAAAUAGAAGAGGAAAACGCAUUAAAAGAAUUUCAUGUAAAUACAAAGAUUACGUUUUUUUAACUUACGAGGAAGCUACAACAGGGACAGACAAGGAAAAAUGGAUGAAAGCUAUUAAAGAAGAAAAGAAGUCAGCCAGAAAGCAACCAGAAGAAAAGACUUUAUAAUGAAGUUUGAUAUUAAAACAACCUUUUUAUAUGGAAAUUUAAAUGAAGAAAUUUUUUAUCAUAUGUAUUUGUGCGUAAUAACGUGUUAUCAAAAGUA